This 964-nucleotide long non-coding RNA is filed under the name Anas platyrhynchos platyrhynchos (common mallard). RNAcentral describes it as "lncRNA (ENSAPLG00000017784.1)". Lineage: Eukaryota; Metazoa; Chordata; Aves; Anseriformes; Anatidae. The record is from RNAcentral.
CUCAUUUGACCUUAGGAAAAAAAAAAAAAGACACUCAUUGGGUGAUUUUUAAUAUCCUAGUAGGAAAUGUUGUAAAUAAGUUAAAGGAAUCUGUAUUGGGUUUACAUGGCAAAGAUUUGGUAGCAAGGGGACUGCAGAGGUGGCCUCUGUGAGCAGAGUCCUGCAGCUGCCCCACGUCAGAGCAGAGCCGGCUCCAAAAGGGACCUGCAGCUGGCCAGAGCCGAGCCAGGGACCGAUGCUGGGUAGGCCUCUGGAAGAAUGGAGUUAAGGAAGGGAAACAACAUUCAACAGCAGCUGAGAGAGAGGGGUGAGAACAUGUGAGGGAACAAGCCCCCAGCAGUUCCCCAAAGUCAAUGCAGCAAGAGGUGCUCCAGGUGCCAGAGCCAGUGUUUCGCUGCAGCCUGUGGAGAGGCCCCUGGUGGAGCAGGUGGAGACAAAGUAUUGUGGGCUGACUGCAGGCCCCAUUUUCCUGCACUACUUAGGGGGAUAGGGUAGAAGAGAGUAGAUGGAGGGCAGGUGGUUUUAGUUUGCUUUUAGUUUCUCAUUGGUCUUGUCUGAUAGCAGUAGACAAUAAGUUUUGUUAAUCUCCCUUCUGUGAAUCUGUUUUGCCUGUCAUGUUAAUUGGUUGGGCGAUCAUACUGUCCUUAUCUCAACCUGUGAGUGUUUUUUUUUUCUUUUUUUUUUUUUUCUUUUGUUUUAUUUUGUUUUUGUUUUUUCCUCCACCUGUUCCUGUGAGGAGGGGAAGUGAGAGGGUGAUGUGGUGGAGUUUCAUUGGCCAUCAGUGUGAAACCACUACAGAAUCUCUGCCUGAAGGUGCUUUGUAUUUCUCCUUGAGAGUAGAGGACUCCAGGAAACUGUUGCACAGGUGCCAUUUGUAAAAUGCAGCUCUGGAUCCUGAGCAUUCACAACGCUUCUGGGUGUUCAGACCUCUGCUUGAUUAGAGCCAGCCAAUAUAGUUAAAGGU